GGUUAAGUGAAUAAGGGCGCACGGUGGAUGCCUUGGCACUAGGAGCCGAUGAAGGACGGGACUAACACCGAUAUGCUUUGGGGAGCUGUACGUAAGCUAUGAUCCAGAGAUUUCCGAAUGGGGGAACCCAACAUCUUUAAUAGGAUGUUACGAUUGUGUGAAUACAUAGCACAUUCGAGGUAGACGCAGAGAACUGAAACAUCUAAGUACCUGCAGGAAGAGAAAGAAAAUUCGAUUCCCUGAGUAGCGGCGAGCGAAACGGGAAAAGCCCAAACCAGCAAGCUUGCUUGUUGGGGUUGUAGGACUCCAAUAUGGUAGUUCUUUCAGAUAGUCGAAUGACUUGGAAAAGUCAGUCAAAGAGGGUAAAAACCCCGUAGACGAAAUGUGGAAGACACCUAGGAGGAUCCUGAGUACGGCGGAACACGAGAAAUUCCGUCGGAAUCCGGGAGGACCAUCUCCCAAGGCUAAAUACUCCCUAGUGACCGAUAGUGAACCAGUACCGUGAGGGAAAGGUGAAAAGCACCCCGGAAGGGGAGUGAAAUAGAACCUGAAACCGUGUGCCUACAACAAGUCAAAGCCCGUUAAUGGGUGAUGGCGUGCCUUUUGUAGAAUGAACCGGCGAGUUACGAUUGCAUGCGAGGUUAAGUUGAAGAGACGGAGCCGCAGCGAAAGCGAGUCUGAAUAGGGCGUUUGAGUAUGUAGUCGUAGACCCGAAACCAUGUGAUCUACCCAUGUCCAGGUUGAAGGUGCGGUAAAACGCACUGGAGGACCGAACCCACGUACGUUGAAAAGUGCGGGGAUGAGGUGUGGGUAGCGGAGAAAUUCCAAACGAACUUGGAGAUAGCUGGUUCUCUCCGAAAUAGCUUUAGGGCUAGCCUCGGAAUUGAGAAUGAUGGAGGUAGAGCACUGUUUGGACUAGGGGCCCAUCUCGGGUUACCGAAUUCAGAUAAACUCCGAAUGCCAUUCAUUCAUAUCCGGGAGUCAGACUGUGAGUGAUAAGAUCCAUAGUCGAAAGGGAAACAGCCCAGACCACCAGCUAAGGUCCCAAAAUAUAUGUUAAGUGGAAAAGGAUGUGGGGUUGCACAGACAACUAGGAUGUUGGCUUAGAAGCAGCCACCAUUUAAAGAGUGCGUAAUAGCUCACUAGUCGAGUGACCCUGCGCCGAAAAUGUACCGGGGCUAAACAUAUUACCGAAGCUGUGGAGUACACCUUUAGGUGUAUUGGUAGGAGAGCGUUCUAAGGGCGUUGAAGGCAGAUCGUGAGGACUGCUGGAGCGCUUAGAAGUGAGAAUGCCGGUAUGAGUAGCGAAAGACAGGUGAGAAUCCUGUCCACCGAAUGACUAAGGUUUCCUGGGGAAGGCUCGUCCGCCCAGGGUUAGUCGGGACCUAAGCCGAGGCCGACAGGCGUAGGCGAUGGAUAACAGGUUGAUAUUCCUGUACCCGUUGUUUUUGUUUGAGCAAUGGAGGGACGCAGGAGGCUAAGGAAUGCAGACGAUCGGAAAUGUCUGUC
RNAcentral lists this ribosomal RNA (1509 nucleotides) under Enterococcus faecium. RNAcentral's name for it is "partial 23S ribosomal RNA". It matches the Rfam family "Bacterial large subunit ribosomal RNA", at positions 1 to 1512 of the family's 2925-position model. The record is from RNAcentral. Lineage: Bacteria; Bacillati; Bacillota; Bacilli; Lactobacillales; Enterococcaceae.